GACGAACGCUGGCGGCGUGCUUAACACAUGCAAGUCGAACGGAAAGGCCCUGCUUUUGUUGGUUUCUCGAUUGGCGCACGGGUGAGUAACACGUGCGUAACCUGCCCUUGACUUUGUGAUAACUUCAGGAAACUGGGGCUCAUACCGGAUAUAAUCUCCUGCUGCAUGUUGUUGGUUGGAAAGUUUCGGCGGUUGUGGAUGGACUCGCGGCUUAUCCGCUUGUUGGUGGGGUAGUUGCUUACCAAGCCUUUGACGGAUAGCCUGCCUGAGAGGGUGACCGGGCACAUGGGGACUGAGAGACGGACCAGAAGCCUACGGGAGGCAGCAGGGGGGAAUAUUGCACAAUGGGCGGAAGCCUGAUGCAGAAACGCCGCGUGCGGGAUGACGGCCUUCGGGUGGUAAACAGAUUUCGAAUGUGACGAAGAGUGAGUGACGGUAAUGGGUAAAGAAGCAACGGCUAACUACGUG
RNAcentral lists this ribosomal RNA (468 nucleotides) under uncultured bacterium. RNAcentral describes it as "partial 16S ribosomal RNA". It matches the Rfam family "Bacterial small subunit ribosomal RNA", at positions 28 to 507 of the family's 1533-position model. The record is from RNAcentral.